UACGUAGGGUGCGAGCGUUGUCCGGAAUGACUGGGCGUAAAGGGCGCGUAGGCGGCUCGUGAAGUCGGGUGUGAAAGCCCGGGGCUCAACCCCGGAACGGCAUCCGAUACUGGCGGGCUUGAGACCGGGAGAGGAGGGUGGAAUACCCAGUGUAGAGGUGAAAUUCGUAGAUAUUGGGUGGAACACCGGUGGCGAAGGCGGGUCUCUGGGCCGUAACUGACGCUGAGGAGCGAAAGCGUGGGGAGCGAACAGG
RNAcentral lists this ribosomal RNA (253 nucleotides) under uncultured bacterium. RNAcentral describes it as "partial 16S ribosomal RNA". It matches the Rfam family "Bacterial small subunit ribosomal RNA", at positions 524 to 776 of the family's 1533-position model. The record is from RNAcentral.